UACGUAGGGUGCGAGCGUUGUCCGGAAUUAUUGGGCGUAAAGAGCUCGUAGGCGGUCUGUCGCGUCGAUCGUGAAAACUUGGGGCUUAACCCUGAGCUUGCGGUCGAUACGGGCAUGACUGGAGUUCGGCAGGGGAGACUGGAAUUCCUGGUGUAGCGGUGAAAUGCGCAGAUAUCAGGAGGAACACCAAUGGCGAAGGCAGAUCUCUGGGCCGUAACUGACGCUGAGGAGCGAAAGCAUGGGGAGCGAACAGG
This 254-nucleotide ribosomal RNA is filed under the name uncultured bacterium. RNAcentral's name for it is "partial 16S ribosomal RNA". It matches the Rfam family "Bacterial small subunit ribosomal RNA", at positions 524 to 776 of the family's 1533-position model. The record is from RNAcentral.